AGGACGAACGCUGGCGGCGUGCUUAACACAUGCAAGUCGAGCGGAAAGGCCUCUUCGGGGGUACUCGACCGGCGAACGGGUGCGUAACACGUGAGCAACCUGCCUAAGUGUGGGGGAUAGCCGGCCCAACGGCCGGGUAAUACCGCAUACGAUCACUAUUUGGCAUCAUUUGGUGAUGAAACUUUCGAGGCACUUAGAGGGGCUCGCGGCCUAUCAGCUUGUUGGUGGGGUAAUGGCCUACCAAGGCGACGACGGGUAGC
RNAcentral lists this ribosomal RNA (260 nucleotides) under uncultured bacterium. Its description in RNAcentral is "partial small subunit ribosomal RNA". It matches the Rfam family "Bacterial small subunit ribosomal RNA", at positions 26 to 287 of the family's 1533-position model. The record is from RNAcentral.